RNAcentral lists this long non-coding RNA (8226 nucleotides) under Marmota monax (woodchuck). The stretch from base 6634 to 6705 matches the Rfam family "tRNA". Lineage: Eukaryota; Metazoa; Chordata; Mammalia; Rodentia; Sciuridae. The record is from RNAcentral.
AUAAGAUUAAAUAAAUAAGAAAGAAAGAAAGUGAAAGGACCAGUCAUCCCCUGGAAGAACAGAUUUUCUACUAACGUAAAAAAAAAAAAACUUUGAUACCAGUGUAAUCACCAACAGGGAUUGAUUUCUGUUUCUUCCAGCCUAAUAAUAGUGCCUUUCCCCCAAAAAAAGUUGUAUUUAGUAUUUGCCGUAUACUGUGGAGUGAAUCCAGUUUUUUAAAAAUCACCAGACAUUGUAUUACCUUUGAGUUAUCUAGAUUCAGUAUUGAUUGGAGAAAUAAACAUUUAAGUGGAAUAUUGAAGCAGUUGAGAAUUUGAAGGUAAAGUAAAAUGAAUGGUCCUUUACCUGAAGCAUUGUUUUGCUCUUCCAACCUGUGUGCCUGCAGCAAGUCCCCAUGAGUUUGAAGUGAUGUUUUCUGACAUGAAGUUGUUCUUGCAUGAUAGACGGUAUGUUGAGAGCCCUGCCUGGGAGAGAGGAGCAGCACCGCAAGAAGCUAUGUCUGGGAAAGCCUUCGGAGGGCCUCUCCACGCUGCAGUGACGGCCUCAGGAGUUGGUUGUUGCACCUCUAAAGUUCAGCCUUGUUAACUCAGAAAAUGAGGAUGGAUUUCGUGAACCAUUGAAAAGUUUGUUAGGAUAUGAAUUAUGUUGACGAGGACAUUUUUAUUUUAGACUUAUUUGUGUAUUUUUCAGAAUAUGGCAAUGUGUUUAAUGCUUUAAUGAGAUCAGUGUCAUCACCAACAGGGAUGGAUUUCUGUUUAUCUCAGUUUCUAUUUAUACAGCCAGUUUGAAAGGGGCUGGCUCACUGGAGUCAUAUCUCAACAGGGAAUUACAUAUCUUUUGAGAAAUAUUAAUUCCUUUGGAUUACAAGGGUGAGAAUUAGUAAACUGUCCAGGGAAAUAAGUGACAAUCUGUUCAUAUUUUAAGAAUCCAUGUAUAGAUAACCAGAAGGGUCAUGUUUAUACCUAAAAUCAUUCUAGCAUUCAAAAAUUACUGAAUUGGGACUGUCUUAAAGUCUCCAUUUUGAAACUAUAUUUUUAAAAUUAGUAAUCUCUUGGGCUGGAGGUCUAGCUCAGUGGUAAAGUACUAGCCAGCAUGUACGAAGCCCUGUGUUACAUUCCCAGCACUGCAAAAGUAAAUAAAUAAAUAAGAUGUUAAUUUCUCCUAAAUUUUUAUUUCACAGUGAUUGUUGGACUAGAGGCCAGUUACACUACAAUUUUGGGUAGCAAUAGAAAGAAAAUGUUAUUCUGAGGCAGUGUUGCUGUUUGAUGUCACUAAAUCUUGAGAUUACUGGCAGUAAGUCUCAAAUUUGGUCAUUAUGUAAAUAGAAAAAUAUGUGAAUGUGGGAUAUUGAAACCAGCAUUUUUAGAAUUCCAUUAAUAAAUGCUUUCCUCAAUAUAAUUUUCCCCUCCAUAUGACCAAUACAGUGUCUAACUGCAAAAGGGAGGCCUGCUAGGAAUAUUUGCAAACCUCAAGAGCACUCAAAGCCUUAAAAGUAAACACAUCCCUUCUGAAUUUUUCUCUCUGAUUUCUUUUUUCGCAGUGCUGAGGAUUUACUCCAGGGCCUUGAACAUGCUCGGCAUGUACUCUACCAUUGAGUCAGGUCCCCGCCCCCCCCCUUUUUUUUUUUAGUUCUCGGUGGACACAACAUCUUUAUUUUAUUUGUAUGUGGUGCUGAGGAUCAAACCCAGCGCCCCGCGCAUGCCAGGCGAGCACGCUGCCACUUGAGCCACAUCCCCAGUCCCUCCCCAGCCCCUUUUUAAAUUUUAUUUUGAGACAGUAUCUGGCUAAGUUGCCCAGGCUGGCCUUAAACUUGUAAUCCUCCUGCCUCAGCCUCCCAAGUAGCAGGGAUUAUAGGUGUCAAUGUACCUGGCUGAUUUCUUCAAUUUUUAUUUGCUGAGAAACUCAGAAAAUUAGUCUGAAGAAUCAUCAUGUUUUAGACUUUCCUGGUUAGGAGGAAGGCCAACAGGCCUGGGGAGUGAUACCUCAUGAGAAUGCUCGAGGACUGGGAAGAGGUGGUGAGAUUUGCCCUUUUUUGUCCCCCUCCUUUCCACAGCAUCACGUGGGACCUCCUACCACUUUUUCAGAGUUAGGCACAGGACAAUCCAAAUGUCAACCAGAUGCCUGGCUUGCACAGCAGCCUGCUUAGGUCCACUGGGAAUUCAAAGUCAUCAUACCACACAGUUGAGAACUGCCAAAAACAUUUUCCAUAGACAUAGAUCAUGGAAGAUGGAGUGUGUGUGUGUGUGUGUGGGGGGGUACCUUUAAAGACAACUAAUGCUAAUUUGAAAAACACUAGUUAAGCUAUUCUUUAAUACUUAUCAACAUAAAAACUCCAUUUAAUCCCUAGCACCACAAGAAAAAAAAAUUCUAAGAUUGCUCAUCUCCCGAAUUGCUUUAUUAUUGUAAUACAAGCAUAAGUUCUUUGAUUUAUUGUUUUAUACUUCUAGUUCAUCUGAUACACCAAUCAACAAAUAUUUUGUGAGACUCAGAAGUCAAAUAUAUACUGCUAGAUUUUAUGGAUUUUUGUAUUGGGGUGGGAUAUCAGGAAGGAAAGUAUAUAAUCAGGAAACUAUGGAAAUAAAACAUUGAUAUUUCGUGGAAAGAGCCUUGUAGAGGUCACAGUGCUGAGCUGUUUCAUUAUCCAAACACCAGGGUUGAGGUGAACUGAGAGAAAGCAGAGGAGGUGGAGAUUACUCUGUGAGGGGAUGAUUGGGUUGCCCCCAAGCAUUGCAGAGCUGGACCCAGAAACCACCUGGAUUUGCAGAAACUAUAUGUGGCAGUGUUGACUCAGUUCUGCAAAUUCCCAGGCAAGAGAUUUCAUCCCUUAGCAAGAUGAAGAAGGUAAUGGUAAAUUCAUACUUAGUAAAGAAUAGCCCUGCUGGAGGUAGCUAAGCACUCACCUGGUUUACUUCAUGUCUGUAAUGGGAGUAGAUACAGGUUUAUGUGUUUUUAUUGUAUUACUGGUAAAACUUUUUUAAUCUGGCUUUUCUAUUUUUUCUACCUCAACUUACUGAGUUUGAAAAUAUGCCAUUUACUCAUAAGGCUUCCUCUUUUUAUUCAUGAGUGGGUCCGUCCUAGGAUUGAUCAUAACAACCUACUUUUGACACACUUUCGAGUAUUCCUUAAGAGUCCUGGUAUUGCCUAUAAUGGUCACAUGACAAUGAGCUGAGCACAUUGCUAGUAUGUUUUAGAACUAAAGUAAACAUCAAUGCAGUAUUUUUAUUUCAUGUGUAACAUCCCUGAAGUCUUGUUGCUCUUUUGCUAUCAUUAUUAUAAAAUAUUUCAGAUACAUAAAAAAAUACAAAUAGUUAUAACAAAUACUUUACUCAUGUACCUAAUAUGCAGAAUUAAUAUAUGUUACCACUUGGGAGUUUAGUCCUGUUUUGAGAUCUGAGGUAGAACCUUUCUUUGCAUCUUUUCUACAUUUGCUUGAGAGCACAUUGUGGUUUUCUGAAAGAUCAUCCAUGCUCACUGCAGGACAGCAGGGUUUUAAAAUCCAGCCCUAGAGCCUCCAAGGACUGUUACCCAGACAGCUGAGAUUAAGCCUCCUUUUUUAAAAAUUUUUUUAAGUUGUCAAUGGACCUUUAUUUUGUUUUAUUUAUAUGUGGUGCUGAGAAUUGAAUCCAGUGCCUCACACAUACUAGGCAAGCACUGUACCAUUGAGCUAUGACCCCAGCCCCUAAGCCUCCUUUUAAAACAUUCUUUGUAGUCUUUCUGUAUCUGAUUUCUUAAUUCUCUAAUAAUUCUGUGAUAGUUUUCCUAAGAGGAAACCAGCUGCCCUUAUGUGAGGUAGGGGAGGUCUGCUGGGCCAAGGUUUUCUGACUCCUCUGGUGGAGCAGACCCCCUACCAGGUACGCCUGGCCUGCAGCAGAACCUGGUGGCAGAAGUGUCCUCACUUGGGAUGGGGAGAUCUGCCUUACCACCUGGGAAGGAGAUUCUGAGUUACAGCCCCUGAAAUGCAGGCUUCCUGUUUCUGGCUAACAUUUAGAUGUUUGGAAUCAUUUAUUUAUUCAACUCCUGGGCACCCUACGCUAGGCUCUCAGCUUGAAAUGCUUUGGAUACUUUUUGAAACAGAAAAAAUAUAAAUCUUAAUUCACAAAAUGGAAUUUUGAAAAGUUUGAUUCAUCCAUUAAUAGACUACUCUGAAAAAAAUUUUGCUGAAGUUUACACAAAGCAAUGAGUUAUUCAGAAAUUUUUCUCAAUUUUGAAACCUUUUAUUGAUAUCCUGGAAUUGUUGUGUUGGCUCUGUUACAGUUUUGUUUUUAUAACACAAGGAAAUCAAGUUGGACCAGGGUUUCUCAGACUUGGCACAAUUGACACUUGGGAUUCUGAUAUUCUGUGAAGCUGCUCUGUGCAUUUUAGAAUGUUAGCCACAUCCCUGGCCUCCAGUGAAAACCACUGACAUAAAAAAGUUUGUACAUAACUGCAAAAACCCAUGUUAGGCCUAAGAACAUCUCAUUUAGUAUAACAAUUGCACUGGGGGCUUUUUACAAUCAGGUAUCAAAAUCUGAGGAUGACCAAUUCCUCAGAAUCAUCUUUUAAAAGUCUUUUUAAAAAUUGUGUUUAUGCUGGGCGCAGUGAUACAUGUCUGUAAUCCUAGCAGCUUGGGUGUUGAGGCAGGAGAAUUGUAACUUAGCAAGGCUGUAGGCAAACUAGUGAGACCCUGUCUCAAAUUAAAAUAUAAAAAGGGCUGGGGAUGUGGCUCAGUGGUUAAGCACUUUUGCGUUCAAUCCCCAGUACAAAAAUACACACCCACAUAUAUAUAUGUGUGUGUGUGUGUGUGUGUGUAUUUAUUACAGAGUAGGUAAAAAAUAGUUUGCAUUUUUCUCCAAUUUUUGCUUUUGUUCCCCUUUCAGUACCAAGGAUUGAAUGCAAGGCCUCGCACCAACUAGUCAAGUACUCCACCACUCAACCACAUCCCGACUCCAAUUUUUAAAAUUUUUUUUAUAGUCGUAGAUGGACAGAAUGCCUUUAUUUUGUUUAUUUUUGUGUAGUGCUGAGGAUUGAACCCAGCGCCUCACACAUGCUAGCAAGCACUCUGCCACUGAGCUAUAGCCACAACCCCAGUGUUGUUUUUUUUUUUUUUUUUGGUGGGAGGUGUCGGGGUUUCUAGCCCCUCCUGACCUGCUGGAGAGAUUGGGGAGAGCGCCCCGGCCAGGAUGAGCCAAGAAAGGAGAGGGCCGACUAACAGCCCCCACCCAGCCCUCCCUCCUGGAGGACAAUCAGAUGCAUCAAGGAGACCAGUCAAGGCUGGAGCUCGUUUAUUGAGGAAGCACACACAGCAGCUAAUAUAAGGCACAGGAGCCAAUCAGGAUAAAGGUCAGCAGGGUGAGGAGAGUUCACGUGUACACCCAUCCUACAGGCAGGCAGGGGAGACACGAGCUGUCCACCUGUCCACGAGGGCGGAAGGGUUCUGAGCCUAUCCUAGAGGUGGUCCGAUUUUUCUUCACAACCCAGGCAACGCCUUCUGGCUGAUCGCCAGGUGCCGUCUUAGCCAUGUGCGGCCCCAAGACCAGGAAGUGAGCAUCAGUCUGCAAGUUAGGUUUCCUUUUCUCCAUCAUAGGUUUCUAUUUCUCUGAUGUGACGUGCCCUACACGAGGUACCAGGGGUUGAACUCAGGGGCACUCAACAACUGAGCCACCUCCCCACCCCUAUUUUUUUAAUUUUUUUUUUAUAUAUUUAUUUUAUUUAUUUUUAUGUGGUGCCGAGAAUUGAACACUCGCAUAUGUGCAACUCCAGCACCCCCACUCCUAUUUUUUGUAUUUUAUUUAGACACAGUGACUCACUGAGUUGCUUAGCACCUUGCUUUUGCUGAGGCUGGCUUUGAACUCACCAUCCUUUUGCCUCAGCCUCCAGAGCAGCUGGGAUUACAGGCAUUCGCCUCCAAGCCUGGCCCCAGACCCCAAUUUUAAAUUAGGAGGGGAGUAGUAAAACCUUAGUUUCUGUCUUGUUUUGCUUGUUUUCCAAGUUACUGAUGUAUAUGAAUAAACCAGACAAUUUUGCAAACACUCCUAAACUGCAAUAAUUUUUCCAACCAAUGGAAGACCAAAGGAGUUGCUAUACUUAAUCACUACAUCAAUCAAUCAGAAAUUCAAUUCAAUUGAAUUGGGUGGGGUUCUGGUCAUAAUGGGGAUAUCAUAUAAAGAAUCAAGCUUGACUUACUUCUCUCUGGAAAAAAUAAUUAAAUUUCUUAUAGUUGAUUCCCAGUAUAGAAACCUGAAAUAUCUGCCACAUGGUCUUAGUUGGCAUAGGCAGCAUGGAUAGAAUAUAUUGUUCAGAAUAAUUUUAUCUUAUUGGUUAGCCAAGUAGCCUUUAAUUGCUUGAAUUAGCACUGACAUGUAUCUUAAAGUCAUGGAUGUUUUUAAUGCAAUUACUAUUCACCAUUAAAAAUUCAAUGAGGGCUGAGGUUAUGGCUCAGUGGUAGAGCGCUCACCUAGCACGUGCAAGGCACUGGGUUCAAUCCUCAUAUACAUAUAAAUAAAUAAAUAAAGAUAUUUUAAAAAUCAAUGAAUCUAUUUAAUAUCAUGCAGAAAUUUUCUGUCAUGUAAGUCAAUUUAUUGAAUAUUCUGCACCUAAGUAAAACAAACCCCACUAAUAUUCAAUAGGCCCAGUUAAAAAUGAGGCCUAUUGGCUUGGGUUGUGGCUCAGUGGUAGAGUGCGUGCUUAGCAUGUGUGAGGCACUGGGUUCGAUUCUCAGCACUGCAUAUAAAUAAAUGAAUAAAAUAAAAGUCCAUCAACAUCUUAAGAACAUCGUAUUUCUAUAUAAUAAUUUAAUUCAGAAACUUUGAAAUGAUAAUCUCCCUGUCCUAUAGGUCACCCCUCCUCAAAGACAUGAGGCUUGCUUAUUUAUUUACUUUAGAUGAGGCCUCAGUGUGCUGCCCAGGCCAGCCUAGAACUCCUGGUCUUACAUUAUCCUCCUGCCUCAGCCUCUCAUGUGGGUGGAACUACAGACUUGAGUCACUGGUCUUGAACCAAACUGAUAUUUUUGGUAUUCAUUUCCAAAUAUCCAACUCACGUGCCUAUGUUGUCCCUUAAUAGUUUUAUUCUUUGGUUUUAGGCAUUAUCUUUUUAAUUUCUACCAUGGAAAAGUUUAGUUUCACCUCACCCUCUCUCCAUAUACUUCCCUUUUUCCAUCCUCCCAAUACUGUUAGAAUUUUAUUGUGGUUGUCCCAAAAUUCACUGUUGUGACUAUGUAAAUACUAGUCAGAGCUUUGUCAUGUUGUAUUCUAUGAUUACUUUUUCUUUCCAUGUAGAACUCCCUUUCCUGAAUUAAAAAUUUGUAUUUUGGUGGUGGGAGUUGCUUGGUCUUCUAUUUAAUUACGAAUCUGUAGCCAAACUCUUCUCUCAGUUGUACAGUUUCCCAGUAUGUUCCAACCCAUUAGGUAUCCUCAAAAAUCCUUCUAGAAGAAAUCCCUCACAGGGCCUUCUGACUAUCUCCAGUCUGAACCUAUGGUUCCAUUGACCUUCUGUUCCCAUGUUUUAUGGGGCUCUCUCCACAACCACCCUGGAGAGAGCCUUCAUCUUUUUCUUUCAUCUGAUUCCCUCUCUCAAUUUGGUGAAGCAUGUUUUUCAGAAGAUUCCUGAGAACGGUACGUGGUGAUGGGUUGUCCCCAAGACCACCCACCACUUGUUGUGGAACUUUUCACCUUUCUUAUUCUUACCGAUAACAGUCCAGGGACCUUCACAUUGAAGCUUUGAUGAUGCUUCCUAAGAAGUUGCAGUUCUAAUCCAUAAACCCAAAUUUUAAGUGGCAAAUCUGAGAGGUUUUAGGCAAGUGUGUUUUACUACAAAAGUUUAAAGCUUUAUCUUCACAUGCAAGGAGAAGCCACUGUGAUAGCCAAUCGAAUAAUGCUCAACCCAUCUCCCCAUUGUUGGGUGGAAGGCUCACGCGUUCAGAUAAUUUCCAGCCAGGGAGGCUCUCCCUUUCUUGGCUAACGUUGCUGCCAAAGUGACAAACCUCAUUUCUUCCUGCCCACCUGUCUCCUGGGGAUUACCCAGAAUCGGACACCAUCAGGAACUCUCCCAAAAAUUCUGAGAAUCUUUUUAAGGAGCCAUUGCUGGUGGUUUGGUAAUUGGUCGACACCUGCAGGCAGACUGAAUGGCCCUUCUCUGGCCACUUCCUCCUCCUGCCUGCAGAUGAUGCUGGUUCUGGAUAAACUGAAGGGAACAGGAUGACGAGGGUGCAGGGCCAAGGUGUCCUUUGCAAAAUGUGUCAGAAACUAACAG